RNAcentral lists this ribosomal RNA (235 nucleotides) under uncultured bacterium. Its description in RNAcentral is "partial 16S ribosomal RNA". It matches the Rfam family "Bacterial small subunit ribosomal RNA", at positions 99 to 334 of the family's 1533-position model. The record is from RNAcentral.
CGGACGGGUGAGUAAUGCGUGGGUAACCUGCCUUGUACUGGGGGACAACAGUUAGAAAUGACUGCUAAUACCGCAUAAGCGCACAGUAUCGCAUGAUACAGUGUGAAAAACUCCGGUGGUACAAGAUGGACCCGCGUCUGAUUAGCUAGUUGGUAAGGUAACGGCUUACCAAGGCGACGAUCAGUAGCCGACCUGAGAGGGUGACCGGCCACAUUGGGACUGAGACACGGCCCAA